GACGUAGGGGGCGAGCGUUGUCCGGAUUUAUUGGGCGUAAAGCGCGCGUAGGCGGUCCGUUAAGUCGGUUGUGAAAACCCGGGGCUCAACCCCGGGCCUGCAUUCGAUACUGACGGGCUAGAGGCAGGUAGGGGGAAGUGGAAUUCCUGGUGUAGCGGUGAAAUGCGCAGAUAUCAGGAGGAACACCGGUGGCGAAGGCGGCUUCCUGGACCUGUCCUGACGCUCAGGCGCGAAAGCUAGGGGAGCAAACAGG
This 253-nucleotide ribosomal RNA is filed under the name uncultured bacterium. Its description in RNAcentral is "partial 16S ribosomal RNA". It matches the Rfam family "Bacterial small subunit ribosomal RNA", at positions 524 to 776 of the family's 1533-position model. The record is from RNAcentral.